This 73-nucleotide transfer RNA is filed under the name Camelus bactrianus (Bactrian camel). It matches the Rfam family "tRNA". From Rfam's summary of the family: Transfer RNA (tRNA) molecules are approximately 80 nucleotides in length. Their secondary structure includes four short double-helical elements and three loops (D, anti-codon, and T loops). The record is from Rfam by way of RNAcentral. RNAcentral also lists the same sequence under 2 other names. Lineage: Eukaryota; Metazoa; Chordata; Mammalia; Artiodactyla; Camelidae.
GAGGGUAUAGCUCAAGCGGUAGAGCGCAUGCUUAGCACGCACGAGGUCCUGGGUUCAAUCCCCGAUACUUCCU